This 563-nucleotide unclassified non-coding RNA is filed under the name Hevea brasiliensis (rubber tree). The record is from RNAcentral. Lineage: Eukaryota; Viridiplantae; Streptophyta; Magnoliopsida; Malpighiales; Euphorbiaceae.
GUUGACUGGUGCCCAACUGGUUUCAAGUGCGGUAUCAACUACCAGCCACCAACAGUAGUACCUGGAGGUGAUCUUGCUAGGGUGCAGCGUGCUGUUUGUAUGAUUAGCAACAAUACAGCUGUAGCUGAGGUUUUCUCUCGAAUUGACCACAAAUUUGAUCUCAUGUAUGCCAAGCGAGCAUUUGUGCACUGGUAUGUGGGUGAAGGCAUGGAGGAAGGUGAAUUUUCAGAAGCUCGUGAAGAUCUUGCUGCCCUUGAGAAAGAUUAUGAGGAAGUCGGUGCUGAAGGUGCUGAAGAUGAGGAUGAAGGAGAAGACUAUUGAAAUAGGCUUUCUCUGAGUCAUGAGCAGAUGUAUGCCCUUUAUUUCCUGUCUCUUGUUUUUCAGCCCAUGUAUUGUAAAGAGAAUCAUCCAUGUCAGUGAUUGCUGAAUUGUAUCUCUAUUGUGUUUUAGCUCUGUACUUAAUGGUGUUUUUGAAGCAUGGUUUGAAAUUGUAUCAUUUCAGUCCUGUUUAAUAGGGCUAGUGAAUGCCAAUAAAGAUACAAUUCAGCAAUCACUGACAUGGA